Molecule: non-coding RNA, 834 nt
Organism: Paramuricea clavata
Lineage: Eukaryota; Metazoa; Cnidaria; Anthozoa; Malacalcyonacea; Plexauridae
Source: the annotation of a GenBank genome assembly
CAACUUUCCCAGGGCUAUCUAAAGCUCUUUGUGUUCGACUCUAGCAGUUGUGCCGGGACUGUUGCCCUUUUCUGGUCCUUCCGGGGGGUGCUUUGGGGAUUUACUUCUCUGUUCAUCUUUUCUCUCGCCACUCGCUAAACUUUGUUCCGUUAGCAGCUUCUGAGCGUCUUAAGAAGCGAGUCAUUGGGUGGAAGUUUCUCCCGGGGACCAGACCUGUGGCAUCAGUUCCGGGUUAUUCUCUGCGUUCAUUGUCGCUUGACCAUGCUAGUCCACCUAUCGCUUUUCACUUGCAUUUUUUUUCAUACUGUCCAUUGCCGGUUUGUUUGCUUAAUAGAUUAUAGUUUGGUUUGUGUGUGUGGCACAUGCGAAUCGGCGGGGUUGUAGGGUAUUUGAGCAGGGGGGUUUGGUAUAUGAGAAUGGCGGCUUGGGUAUAUGAGAAUGGGAGUUUGGGUAUAUGAGAAUGGGGGUUUGGUAUAUGAGAAUGGGGGUUUGGGUACAUGAGAAUGGGGGUUUGGGUAUAUGGGGGAGAUGUAGUGUUGGGAGCGAGUAGUAACUGAACUGCGGAGGAAUUCAUUUCCGUGCUUCAUUUGGAAACAAUGGACCUUCCUUUUCCCCAAUGCUUAAUCAGUGAUCCGUGGCGGGAUGGCCAUUUGGAUAUUUUACUAUUCAAAUUGGCCAAACACGCCGCGGAAGCUGAUUAACUAAUGGAAUUUGAGUAAUUAACGUUGUUUUAUGAAUAAAUAAUGAUGUACAAUGCAUAAAACCCUAGUUUACAGGUUGUAACUGCUCUUUCUGUGCUGAUCGCCAAGACAGAGAAAGUGCAAGAUAAAGAAA